RNAcentral lists this ribosomal RNA (511 nucleotides) under uncultured Glomus. Its description in RNAcentral is "SSU rRNA". It matches the Rfam family "Eukaryotic small subunit ribosomal RNA", at positions 569 to 1081 of the family's 1831-position model. The record is from RNAcentral. Lineage: Eukaryota; Fungi; Glomeromycota; Glomeromycetes; Glomerales; Glomeraceae.
AGCAGCCGCGGUAAUUCCAGCUCCAAUAGCGUAUAUUAAAGUUGUUGCAGUUAAAAAGCUCGUAGUUGAAUUUCGGGGUCGGUAGGUUGGUUAUGCCUCUGGUAUGCACUGGUCUCACUGAUUCCUCCUUCCUGAUGAGCCGUAAUGCCAUUAAUUUGGUGUUGCGAGGAAUCUGGACUGUUACUUUGAAAAAAUUAGAGUGUUUAAAGCAAGCUGACGCUUGAAUACAUUAGCAUGGAAUAAUGGAAUAGGACGUUCGAUCCUAUUUUGUUGGUUUCUAGGAUUGACGUAAUGAUUAAUAGGGAUAGUUGGGGGCAUUAGUAUUCAAUUGUCAGAGGUGAAAUUCUUGGAUUUAUUGAAGACUAACUACUGCGAAAGCAUUUGCCAAGGAUGUUUUCAUUAAUCAAGAACGAAAGUUAGGGGAUCGAAGACGAUCAGAUACCGUCGUAGUCUUAACCAUAAACUAUGCCGACUAGGGAUCGGAUGAUGUUAAUUUUUUAAUGACUCAUUC